AAAACUGAGGGAAACAUGUUUUCCAGUUUAUUAUAAAGAUAUUACAGAGACCCUGGGCAACAUGGAGAAACCCUGUCUCUACUAAAAAUACAAAAAAUUAGCCGAGCGUCAUGGCUUGCAAGUGUAGUCCCAGCUACUUGGGAGGCUGAGGUGGGAGAAUCACCUGAACCUGAGAAGUCUAGGCUGCAGUGAGCCAUAAUUGUACCAUUGUCCUCCAGCCUGGGCAACAGGAGUGAGAUCCUGUCUCCAAAAAAAAAUACUAGGAUACAAAUGAAGAGAUGCAUACUGUGAAGUAUGGGAAGGGGCACAGAGCUUCCAUGUCCUCCCUGCCUGUGAUAUCCAGGAAAUUCCUCCAGGAACUUCCACAUGUUCAGCUAUCCAGUAGCUCUUUGUACCCCAUCCUCUUGAGCCUUUUAUGGAGAUUUCAAUGGAUAGGCAUGACUGAAGCAUGGACAAUCAUUUUGGAAAUGUGAUUGGACAAAAAAGAUAUGAUCUGAUACUAACAGACUGAGUGGGGAAACCCAGCAAGGCCUGUCUGCUCAGAUUCUUCUUGGCUUCUCUGUUCAGCAUUCCUUCCAGGAUAUAGGGCAAGACCCAUUCUGAAACAGGGGUCUUAUGACCUACAGCUAGACAAGAUAGGUCAGAGAAAGGCAGGGAUGAUUAGAGUUCUGCUUUGGAGAGAAGGAGCAGGUGAAAGGAGGAGAGGAGGAAGUCAGAAAUAGAUUCUGUUUUCUGAGGCCUAAAGCACCCUAACAUAACAAGACUGUAACAAAGGCUAUGGGAGUUAUGAGCCAGAAACUGUGGACAAAAACAU
This 814-nucleotide long non-coding RNA is filed under the name Homo sapiens (human). Its description in RNAcentral is "HSALNT0059540". The record is from RNAcentral. Lineage: Eukaryota; Metazoa; Chordata; Mammalia; Primates; Hominidae.